CAGUAGCCACGGGAAUACGGAGGGGGCUAGCGUUGUUCGGAAUUACUGGGCGUAAAGCGCACGUAGGCGGCUUGGUAAGUUAGAGGUGAAAGCCCGGAGCUCAACUCCGGAAUUGCCUUUAAGACUGCCGAGCUAGCAGGUGAGAGAGGUAAGUGGAAUUCCGAGUGUAGAGGUGAAAUUCGUAGAUAUUCGGAAGAACACCAGUGGCGAAGGCGGCUUACUGGUUCAUACUGGACGCUGAGGUGCGAAAGCGUGGGGAGCAAACAGGAUUAGAUACCCCCGUAGUCCCUGUCUCUUAUAC
Molecule: ribosomal RNA, 301 nt
Filed under: uncultured bacterium
Lineage: Bacteria
Description: partial 16S ribosomal RNA
Rfam family: Bacterial small subunit ribosomal RNA
Source: RNAcentral